AGUUCUUGUAGUUGAAUUACAACGGUGGUUUUUCAAGUCAUUGGUCCUGGUUAGAGCCCUGGCAGGAAUUA
Molecule: transfer RNA, 71 nt
Filed under: Ompok pabda (Pabdah catfish)
Lineage: Eukaryota; Metazoa; Chordata; Actinopteri; Siluriformes; Siluridae
Description: tRNA-Glu
Rfam family: tRNA
About the family: Transfer RNA (tRNA) molecules are approximately 80 nucleotides in length. Their secondary structure includes four short double-helical elements and three loops (D, anti-codon, and T loops).
Source: RNAcentral